Macaca fascicularis (crab-eating macaque) is the source of this 142-nucleotide unclassified non-coding RNA. It matches the Rfam family "Metazoan signal recognition particle RNA". Rfam says of the family: The signal recognition particle (SRP) is a universally conserved ribonucleoprotein. It is involved in the co-translational targeting of proteins to membranes. The eukaryotic SRP consists of a 300-nucleotide 7S RNA and six proteins: SRPs 72, 68, 54, 19, 14, and 9. Lineage: Eukaryota; Metazoa; Chordata; Mammalia; Primates; Cercopithecidae. The record is from Ensembl.
GCUGGGUGUGGUGGUGGGCACCUGUAAUCCCAGCUACUUGGGAGGCUGAGGCAGGAGAAUCGCUUGAACCCAGGAGGCAUAGGCAAGUUGAGAUCGUGCCACCACAUUCCAGCCUGGGUGACAGAGCGAGACUCUGCCUCAA